RNAcentral lists this long non-coding RNA (241 nucleotides) under Daucus carota (carrot). RNAcentral describes it as "long non-coding RNA (DCAR_LNC007667)". Lineage: Eukaryota; Viridiplantae; Streptophyta; Magnoliopsida; Apiales; Apiaceae. The record is from RNAcentral.
UGAUAUUUAUCCCUUGGUCUUGGAGAGCUCAAAAAGACAAGAAUUUCACUUCAUUUGGCAGAUCGUACAAUCAAGCUUCCUUUGGGAUUCAUAUAGGAUGCACGCUUGUCUCAAACCAUAGCAAGCUACUGGGGAGGUAAUGAUUUUCAAUUUUUUAUAUAUCAAUAUCAAAGGUGAUUAAAAUAUAUGGCACUAGAUUUUGAUAGGGCACUUUUGAAUGGACUCGGUAAUAGUAUUAGAU